This 329-nucleotide unclassified non-coding RNA is filed under the name soil metagenome. Its description in RNAcentral is "partial contains 5.8S ribosomal RNA, internal transcribed spacer 2, and large subunit ribosomal RNA". The stretch from base 1 to 120 matches the Rfam family "5.8S ribosomal RNA", at positions 35 to 154 of the family's 154-position model. The record is from RNAcentral.
GAUGAAGAACGUAGCGAAAUGCGAUAAGUAGUGUGAAUUGCAGAAUUCAGUGAAUCAUCGAAUCUUUGAACGCACAUUGCGCCCCUUGGUAUCCCGAGGGGCAUGCCUGUUCGAGCGUCAUUUCUCCACUCAAGCCUGGCUUGGUGUUGGGCGACGUCCUCUUUGGGGACGCGCCUCGAAACGCUCGGCGGCGUGGCACCGGCUUUAAGCGUAGCAGAAUCUUUCGCUUUGGAAGUCGGGGCCCCGUCUGCCGGAAGACCUGCUCGCAAGGUUGACCUCGGAUCAGGCAGGGAUACCCGCUGAACUUAAGCAUAUCAAUAAGCGGAGGA